UAAUAUUAAACCUUGUCAAAACUAGUAUAGACAAGGGGAAUCCAACUGUUUAAUUAAAACAAAGUAUUGUGAUGGUCCUUGCGGAUGUUGACACAAUGUGAUUUAUACCUAGUGCUCUACAUGUGAAAGUGAAUAAAUUCAACCAAGCGCAGGUAAACGAUGGGAGUAACUAUGACUCUCUUAAGGUAUCCAGAUGCCUCGUCAUCUAAUUAGUGACAUGUGUGAAUGGAUUAACAAGAUUCUUACUGUCCCUAGAUAUUAUCUAUAGAAACCACAACCAACAGAUAUUAG
Molecule: non-coding RNA, 291 nt
Organism: Picea glauca (white spruce)
Lineage: Eukaryota; Viridiplantae; Streptophyta; Pinopsida; Pinales; Pinaceae
Source: Rfam